GAUGAACGCUGGCGGCGUGCCUAAUACAUGCAAGUCGAGCGAACGGACGAGAAGCUUGCUUCUCUGAUGUUAGCGGCGGACGGGUGAGUAACACGUGGAUAACCUAUCUAUAAGACUGGGAUAACUUCGGGAAACCGGAGCUAAUACCGGAUAAUAUUUUGAAUCGCAUGGUUCAAAAGUGAAAGACGGUCUUGCUGUCACUUAUAGAUGGAUCCGCGCUGCAUUAGCUAGUUGGUAAGGUAACGGCUUACCAAGGCAACGAUGCAUAGCCGACCUGAGAGGGUGAUCGGCCACACUGGAACUGAGACACGGUCCAGACUCCUACGGGAGGCAGCAGUAGGGAAUCUUCCGCAAUGGGCGAAAGCCUGACGGAGCAACGCCGCGUGAGUGAUGAAGGUCUUCGGAUCGUAAAACUCUGUUAUUAGGGAAGAACAUAUGUGUAAGUAACUGUGCACAUCUUGACGGUACCUAAUCAGAAAGCCACGGCUAACUACGUG
Molecule: ribosomal RNA, 497 nt
Filed under: uncultured bacterium
Lineage: Bacteria
Description: partial 16S ribosomal RNA
Rfam family: Bacterial small subunit ribosomal RNA
Source: RNAcentral